This is a non-coding RNA of Triticum urartu, 134 nucleotides long. Lineage: Eukaryota; Viridiplantae; Streptophyta; Magnoliopsida; Poales; Poaceae. The record is from Rfam.
AUGAUACUCCCUUCGUCCCAAAAUUCUUGUUUUAAAUUUGUCUAAAUACGGAUGUAUCAAAUCAUGUUUUAGUAUUAGAUAUAUCCGCAUCUAGACGAAUCUAAGAUAAAAAUUUUAGGACGGAGAGGUAUAAU